RNAcentral lists this ribosomal RNA (498 nucleotides) under uncultured bacterium. RNAcentral describes it as "partial 16S ribosomal RNA". It matches the Rfam family "Bacterial small subunit ribosomal RNA", at positions 30 to 523 of the family's 1533-position model. The record is from RNAcentral.
AUUGAACGCUGGCGGCAUGCCUUACACAUGCAAGUCGAACGGUAACAGGUCUUCGGAUGCUGACGAGUGGCGAACGGGUGAGUAAUACAUCGGAACGUGCCUAGUAGUGGGGGAUAACUACUCGAAAGAGUGGCUAAUACCGCCUGAGAUCUACGGAUGAAAGCAGGGGAUCGCAAGACCUUGUGCUACUAGAGCGGCCGAUGGCAGAUUAGGUAGUUGGUGGGAUAAAAGCUUACCAAGCCGACGAUCUGUAGCUGGUCUGAGAGGGCGAUCAGCCACACUGGGACUGAGACACGGCCCAGACUCCUACGGGAGGCAGCAGUGGGGAAUUUUGUACAAUGGGCGAAAGCCUGAUCCAGCAAUGCCGCGUGCAGGAUGAAGGCCUUCGGGUUGUAAACUGCUUUUGUACGGAACGAAAAGCCCCGGGUUAAUACCCUGGGGUCAUGACGGUACCGUAAGAAUAAGCACCGGCUAACUACGUGCCAGCAGCCGCGGUAA